GGGUUGUGAGGUUAAGCGACUAAGCGUACACGGUGGAUGCCCUGGCAGUCAGAGGCGAUGAAGGACGUGCUAAUCUGCGAUAAGCGUCGGUAAGGUGAUAUGAACCGUUAUAACCGGCGAUUUCCGAAUGGGGAAACCCAGUGUGAUUCGUCACACUAUCAUUAACUGAAUCCAUAGGUUAAUGAGGCGAACCGGGGGAACUGAAACAUCUAAGUACCCCGAGGAAAAGAAAUCAACCGAGAUUCCCCCAGUAGCGGCGAGCGAACGGGGAGCAGCCCAGAGCCUGAAUCAGUGUGUGUGUUAGUGGAAGCGUCUGGAAAGGCGUGCGAUACAGGGUGACAGCCCCGUACACAAAAAUGCACAUACUGUGAGCUCGAUGAGUAGGGCGGGACACGUGGUAUCCUGUCUGAAUAUGGGGGGACCAUCCUCCAAGGCUAAAUACUCCUGACUGACCGAUAGUGAACCAGUACCGUGAGGGAAAGGCGAAAAGAACCCCGGCGAGGGGAGUGAAAAAGAACCUGAAACCGUGUACGUACAAGCAGUGGGAGCACGCUUAGGCGUGUGACUGCGUACCUUUUGUAUAAUGGGUCAGCGACUUAUAUUCUGUAGCAAGGUUAACCGAAUAGGGGAGCCGAAGGGAAACCGAGUCUUAACUGGGCGUUAAGUUGCAGGGUAUAGACCCGAAACCCGGUGAUCUAGCCAUGGGCAGGUUGAAGGUUGGGUAACACUAACUGGAGGACCGAACCGACUAAUGUUGAAAAAUUAGCGGAUGACUUGUGGCUGGGGGUGAAAGGCCAAUCAAACCGGGAGAUAGCUGGUUCUCCCCGAAAGCUAUUUAGGUAGCGCCUCGUGAAUUCAUCUCCGGGGGUAGAGCACUGUUUCGGCAAGGGGGUCAUCCCGACUUACCAACCCGAUGCAAACUACGAAUACCGGAGAAUGUUAUCACGGGAGACACACGGCGGGUGCUAACGUCCGUCGUGAAGAGGGAAACAACCCAGACCGCCAGCUAAGGUCCCAAAGUCAUGGUUAAGUGGGAAACGAUGUGGGAAGGCCCAGACAGCCAGGAUGUUGGCUUAGAAGCAGCCAUCAUUUAAAGAAAGCGUAAUAGCUCACUGGUCGAGUCGGCCUGCGCGGAAGAUGUAACGGGGCUAAACCAUGCACCGAAGCUGCGGCAGCGACGCUGAUGCGUUGUUGGGUAGGGGAGCGUUCUGUAAGCCUGCGAAGGUGUGCUGUGAGGCAUGCUGGAGGUAUCAGAAGUGCGAAUGCUGACAUAAGUAACGAUAAAGCGGGUGAAAAGCCCGCUCGCCGGAAGACCAAGGGUUCCUGUCCAACGUUAAUCGGGGCAGGGUGAGUCGACCCCUAAGGCGAGGCCGAAAGGCGUAGUCGAUGGGAAACAGGUUAAUAUUCCUGUACUUGGUGUUACUGCGAAGGGGGGACGGAGAAGGCUAUGUUGGCCGGGCGACGGUUGUCCCGGUUUAAGCGUGUAGGCUGGUUUUCCAGGCAAAUCCGGAAAAUCAAGGCUGAGGCGUGAUGACGAGGCACUACGGUGCUGAAGCAACAAAUGCCCUGCUUCCAGGAAAAGCCUCUAAGCAUCAGGUAACAUCAAAUCGUACCCCAAACCGACACAGGUGGUCAGGUAGAGAAUACCAAGGCGCUUGAGAGAACUCGGGUGAAGGAACUAGGCAAAAUGGUGCCGUAACUUCGGGAGAAGGCACGCUGAUAUGUAGGUGAAGCGACUUGCUCGUGGAGCUGAAAUCAGUCGAAGAUACCAGCUGGCUGCAACUGUUUAUUAAAAACACAGCACUGUGCAAACACGAAAGUGGACGUAUACGGUGUGACGCCUGCCCGGUGCCGGAAGGUUAAUUGAUGGGGUCAGCGCAAGCGAAGCUCUUGAUCGAAGCCCCGGUAAACGGCGGCCGUAACUAUAACGGUCCUAAGGUAGCGAAAUUCCUUGUCGGGUAAGUUCCGACCUGCACGAAUGGCGUAAUGAUGGCCAGGCUGUCUCCACCCGAGACUCAGUGAAAUUGAACUCGCUGUGAAGAUGCAGUGUACCCGCGGCAAGACGGAAAGACCCCGUGAACCUUUACUAUAGCUUGACACUGAACAUUGAGCCUUGAUGUGUAGGAUAGGUGGGAGGCUUUGAAGUGUGGACGCCAGUCUGCAUGGAGCCGACCUUGAAAUACCACCCUUUAAUGUUUGAUGUUCUAACGUGGACCCGUGAUCCGGGUUGCGGACAGUGUCUGGUGGGUAGUUUGACUGGGGCGGUCUCCUCCUAAAGAGUAACGGAGGAGCACGAAGGUUGGCUAAUCCUGGUCGGACAUCAGGAGGUUAGUGCAAUGGCAUAAGCCAGCUUGACUGCGAGCGUGACGGCGCGAGCAGGUGCGAAAGCAGGUCAUAGUGAUCCGGUGGUUCUGAAUGGAAGGGCCAUCGCUCAACGGAUAAAAGGUACUCCGGGGAUAACAGGCUGAUACCGCCCAAGAGUUCAUAUCGACGGCGGUGUUUGGCACCUCGAUGUCGGCUCAUCACAUCCUGGGGCUGAAGUAGGUCCCAAGGGUAUGGCUGUUCGCCAUUUAAAGUGGUACGCGAGCUGGGUUUAGAACGUCGUGAGACAGUUCGGUCCCUAUCUGCCGUGGGCGCUGGAGAACUGAGGGGGGCUGCUCCUAGUACGAGAGGACCGGAGUGGACGCAUCACUGGUGUUCGGGUUGUCAUGCCAAUGGCACUGCCCGGUAGCUAAAUGCGGAAGAGAUAAGUGCUGAAAGCAUCUAAGCACGAAACUUGCCCCGAGAUGAGUUCUCCCUGACUCCUUGAGAGUCCUGAAGGAACGUUGAAGACGACGACGUUGAUAGGCCGGGUGUGUAAGCGCAGCGAUGCGUUGAGCUAACCGGUACUAAUGAACCGUGAGGCUUAACCUUACAACGCCGAAGGUGUUU
RNAcentral lists this ribosomal RNA (2931 nucleotides) under Escherichia coli. Its description in RNAcentral is "bacterial LSU rRNA". It matches the Rfam family "Bacterial large subunit ribosomal RNA". Lineage: Bacteria; Pseudomonadati; Pseudomonadota; Gammaproteobacteria; Enterobacterales; Enterobacteriaceae. The record is from RNAcentral. RNAcentral also lists the same sequence under 1 other name.